Pogoniulus pusillus (Red-fronted tinkerbird) is the source of this 419-nucleotide long non-coding RNA. RefSeq lists it as uncharacterized. The record is from RefSeq and is a predicted model, not a curated record. Lineage: Eukaryota; Metazoa; Chordata; Aves; Piciformes; Lybiidae. The transcript has 2 exons.
UCAUCAGAGAGGCAUCGCUGCUUGUGCGCACUGGCCUUCCCAAACUCCUCACUCCUGGUCAGACAUCUACAGACAGCAAGGCUGAGCUGACACCAUGGAUUUAUGAGUAGGCUGAGGAACCUUAACAACAUCAAAUGAAGUGGUGGUGAAGCUUAUCAAAACUGCCAUCAUUUUGAAGCAGGAAGAUUUAGCUGAUUUCUGCUGGUGCCCUGCAAUGAAGAGGAUCAGUCAGGUGGAUGCAGAACAAAUCAAGAAGGUACUACAGCUGUUCUAAAAUGAUAAGUCUUGCAUAGAAAAGCACUUACAGCCAUUUAGAAGAGGGACUUACUUGAGACAUUAUUGCUUUUCAGGUUAAAAUGGUUUCUAGCUAGAUAAAGAUUUUCUCUCUGUGUUAAUAAAACUGAAUUUUGUUUGUACAA